Molecule: ribosomal RNA, 543 nt
Filed under: uncultured freshwater bacterium
Lineage: Bacteria
Description: bacterial SSU rRNA
Rfam family: Bacterial small subunit ribosomal RNA
Source: RNAcentral
AGAGUUUGAUCCUGGCUCAGAACGAACGCUGGCGGCAGGCCUAACACAUGCAAGUCGAACGAUACAGUGGCAGACGGGUGAGUAACGCGUGGGAACGUACCUUUCACUACGGAAUAGCUCCGGGAAACUGGUGGUAAUACCGUAUACGCCCUCAGGGGGAAAGAUUUAUCGGUGAAAGAUCGGCCCGCGUUGGAUUAGCUAGUUGGUGAGGUAAUGGCUCACAAAGGCGACGAUCCAUAGCCGGUCUGAGAGGAUGAUCAGCCACAUUGGGACUGAGACACGGCCCAAACUCCUACGGGAGGCAGCAGUGGGGAAUCUUGCACAAUGGGCGAAAGCCUGAUGCAGCCAUGCCGCGUGAAUGAUGAAGGCCUUAGGGUUGUAAAAUUCUUUCGUCAGGGAUGAUAAUGACCGUACCUGAAGAAGAAGCCCCGGCUAACUUCGUGCCAGCAGCCGCGGUAAUACGAAGGGGGCUAGCGUUGUUCGGAAUUACUGGGCGUAAAGCGCACGUAGGCGGAUUUUUAAGUCAGGUGUGAAAUCCCGGGG